Molecule: long non-coding RNA, 7078 nt
Organism: Prinia subflava (tawny-flanked prinia)
Lineage: Eukaryota; Metazoa; Chordata; Aves; Passeriformes; Cisticolidae
Exons: 2
Source: RefSeq, a predicted model, not a curated record
GGCACCGAGCGACGCGAUCCCGGGCGCGGGGGGCUGCGGAGCUCCGCGGGGCCGGGCGGAGGCGGACGCGCCGCGGGCAGAGUCCGGCCGGGGCUGUCAGCCCCCGGCAGUGCCCCGGGGGGACCCGCCACAUCCAGCGCAGCGGCCGCGGGCUCCGGCCGGAACGCCAAACGGAGCCGCGAAUUGCCCGGAGCUCCCGAGUGCCGUAACCCCUCCGCGGGGCCGUGGCCCGGGCCUGCACCCCGGGGAGCGCGGUCCGAGGGGCCGUGAAGAAGGCAGGGAGCAGGAGAGGGUUAAGGGCUUCCAGAGGGGCCAGGUGGGAAGGGACACGCGGAGCUGCGCUGUCGCUGCGCGGUGGGAACGCUGGGCGUGGAUCGGCCAGGGCCUGACCAAAAGUGCGUGGAAGUCCCUGGAAAGGUUCCCACUUUCUCCUGGAGACUUGGAGUCGGGCCCUGAGGGAGCAAACAAGUGCUGCACUUCUCUGUGCUGGGAGGGAAGCUCGCAGCACCGGGAUGAGGGGAGUCCCUUCCGAGCGAGCAGAGGCACCAGCUGUUGCCCAGAAAUCCCAGGCGCGAUCCCUGGGAAGGUGCUGCAUCACUGCAAAGUGAAGUGACUGCAGAACUGGGAAAGCACCCUUGUUUCCAUCAAGAUGAGGAAGCAAUCUCUAUUCUUUGUUUGUGAAAACUGCACUCUCGUACCUUUUCUAGCGCUCCAGGACAUCCCACUGCUGUUAGAAAGUUAUUUAGAAGAGCUGGUUCUCUCUGGGUGUCACAGGGAGCACAGCAUAUUCCUGGCAGUUGGAAGCUUAAGGAUCUGCCUCUAGGGCAGAAAGCAAACCUUACCCGUAUUGAACAGAGCAGGACUUCCCAAAAGCCAGUCGAGUGCACUGGAACAAAGUUAAUAUAUAAUUAAUAGCCAAAACGUGUUGUUACGCAUUUUAGUACAGUUCGUGUUGAUACUGUUCAAAAUGCUGGUCAUGGUUCUGCAGAAACUAUUUCCUCAGUAACAGAAAAAUACAGUUUUUAAUUUUUAAAAUUGUGUCUGGCUCCAGAAGCCUGAAAUUUUCUAAGCAAGCAGCCAUGAAAUAUAAAGACCAGAAUUAUGUGCUUGGAUAAGCUACAUUUCUCAUAUUAAAUUCCUUUCACAUGUAAAAGGCUUUUAAAUGCUUGCGGUCUAAUUCUUUGGUGGUUUUUGUUUUUGUUUUUUGCUUAACUGCUGGCUUGGGAUGUUAGUUUUGGAAUCACGUGGUGGUUGUCAACAAUAACAUAAAAAAAAAUGUUCAAAUUGUCCCUUUCAACUAGCCACUGAGUUAAAAUUAUCCCUUUAUGUAGGAAAGUUCCUCUCACAGAAGUCUGUUCAUUUUUCAAAUGAUGUUAUUUAGAUAAGGUUAAAGUAUGGCUGUCUUCAGUGUUUAUUGUGCACUGAGCUUUCCAAAUAGGUAGAAUGACCUGAGAAAAAAGCUAUCUCACCCCAGAGAUCAGUACUAAACAUGACAUACAGACGUUCCAGUAAAGAACACAUAGAAAAGGAAAGCAGAUUCCAGAAUUCCUACCAGACUGGGAGGUUCCCAGGCCUCAACAAACUCUGCUCACAUUUUAUUUUUAACAUGGAGAUCUAUUCCAGAAUGACAGAAAAGACCAAAAUGUUACUGUAACCUUUAAAAAAAAGCAUCCAGAUCACAGGGAGAAGUUUUUAGCUGCUUCAAACCCAGGUGCUGAGGACCAGGAGUUGCCAGAGGUGAGACAGCAUCCUGCAGUGCCAUCCCCAGGCCAUUUAAUGCUGUUAAAGAAUUACAAGCUCCAUAACAGCAGCUUCGAGAUGAGUUUGUGGAGUUGCUGAUUUUCCUUAUUUGUUCUCUCCCUCGGCAGGAACAGCAACUCAGUUUUCCUAAACUCUGCUGAAUAUACAUGGCCACAAACCUGGCCUGUUUAAAGUGCCUUGCAGCUGCCAAGUGCAAUGAGGCCUCUACCCCACCAGCCCAAACUCUUUUCCUUUCUCCUCCUCUCCCCACCAUUCUCACAGCUUUCCAGAGCUCCUUCCCAGACUGCUGCCAGGUUCCAACACCUGCCUGUGUAAUCUCUGUUGUUCCCUUAAUGCAAGUGUUAAAUGGUGCCAGCAGUUCCACCAUGCCCAGAGCCCUUUUUUUCAUCACCAGGCCCCACUGUUUGCUUGUAACAACCCAAAGAUGCUCCCUCAUGGGAUCUGUUUGGUGUUCUGCAAAAGGGAGUAGGGAGCAGUGUAUAGUGAAGAGCUAUUAUUACUAUUUAUAAGUUUGACUUGUAUUUGUGGUCUAUAUCCUUUCUACUGCCUAGAGCUGCAGGUUCUUGCUCUCGUCUGUCUAGCUUUUAACUGUGAGAAAAAAAAUUCUCGGUAUAUUUGUUCGGGUUUUUUUAAGAGAGACAUUUCUUCACUGUGCCAUAAUAUUUUGUAGAUUGGUAUUUCCUAGGGAAGAAGAAUGUUCUGAAGUAAGACACCAGCAGCAGUUCAAAAUUCAACUCUGUGAGAACAACUCGAUAGUCUCUCUUAUUGGAAGUAAUGUUGACACAAUGAAAUCUGCAUAAUCUAUGUUCCUCUAGCAGCUAGAAGCAACAAACAAGAAAUUUAAAGGUUGGACUUCAUGAUCUUGCAGGUCUUUUCCAACCUUAAUGAUUCUGUGAAUCUAUAUUUAUUAGUUCCAUUGGUUACUGAAAGUGGAGGUGAGCUCUGAGGUCUGCAGUCCUCUGUGUGAUUCAUUUUGAAAGUGGAAUCCAAGUAGUCAUGCCCAAAUUUAAACUGAAAGCUGAAGGUUUGGAAGAAGAGAGAUUUAAUCCACAGUUCUUUCCUUAGACCUUGAUGAAUAUGAGAGUGAUUCUACAACCACAGAAUUUUCUUCCCCUCAUGCCAGUUCUUCUAAAGACACCUUUUAACUAAAAUAUUUAUUUUCGCAGUGAUCAGUAGUAGCUUUUGGAUCAGGUCCCAUUCCAGGGUGCUGCUGUGAAUUUUGCUGUUCUCCAGUCUCUGAAUACUCUGGGCUCCCAGGACACUGUCAGAAGAGCCGUUUUGGGAACCAGAAGACAGGUUCCCAAACAGGCAAAACAAGGAGCUGGCAAAACCAGACAACCUCUUCCCAAUAUUUCACACUGUAGGUGCCCUAGUGCUAUAGAAAGCCCAGCUGCUGAGGGCUUGGCUGGGGAUGGUGGCAUUUUGUGGGUACCUUCCCAACAGCAAGGAUCACUGCUCCUCAUCUCCUUUCAUCCCCUUGCUCUCCACGCUGGCAGUGGGAACAGGCCCUAGCUCUCCAUCCUAUCGCUACUCCUUCUCCCACCUUUUCCCUGUCUUGAGAAUUUUCUGUGCCUCAAUUCCCUGCAGCUGACAAACUGAACUGACCCUUAUCCAUCUGAGAACAAACUCCUUUUCUCUGGCAACACUAAGGAACACCACCCAUUUUUUAACGCUCCUUCCUUCUUUUUCUGUUCUCCUUGCUGUUCUGAGCUCAGGCUUGACCUCUGCUUGUCUCACUCACCAGUCAGUCUCCCUUUCUUUACCUGAAUCCCAGCCAGAUUUUCUGGGCAGCUUUCAAGAAAUGUGGCUGUAACUGAAGAUCAAAAAUGAAGUAAUUGUGAUUGCACAACUGGGGUGAGGAAUGACUUUCUGGAUGCGAACACUAAGCGGCCACUGCUUAGGAGUAGAACCUUUUAAUCUCUGUCCACUGGUUCAAGUUUUCUGUCUUUUCUUCCAAAACAGUUCAGACAGAACUGAGCAUCACUUUAACUCCAUAGACUUGGUCUCCUGACCCAACCACAGAAAUAAGUGUAUCUAAUGAAAAAGCAAACCAGUUCACUCAAGAAAUAUAAUCUGCUCCUGUGACCUUUCUGCAUUAAAAGUUUCCAUUAAGUUCUGUGGCAUUCACCCAUCCCAGAUUCCCCCAGGUAAAAGGAAAGCAAACAAAUGCUUUGAGCAAAUGCUUUGUUUGUAGUAACGUGGCAGGAUCAAUCACUACCAACCACAAUGAUGCAGAGGUUUUUUUUGUAGGCUUUGUGUUGGUCAGAUAAAAUCCUAUAUAAAUUUUCUUGAGUCAGUUCUGUUGACUCACUGUGGCAAUUGCAGCAUGUCCUUCAACCAGGAUAUUUAAAGAAGUGCUAGAAGGAGUGAUGCAAUGAUGCAUCUUCUUAAUACUGCCUUGUAAAAGUCAAGUGUUCAUUGCUUUAUUUAAAGAAAAACAUUUCAUUUUAGAAAUGUGUUUCAUUUCAGUAAUGUGUGAGUUAAACCUCAAAGUCCAGUUUAAAGUUUCUCCAAGUGAAGUGGGCUUUGGUCUGGGAUUUGUUCUGUGGAAUAAAGAGGUGUGUGUCAGAACUGAGAUUUUUAGUUUAGAUCAUGGUGCUGAGACCUCAGGUUUUGUUUCAGGCUUGUCCCUGUAGUUCUUUUUGCCUUUCUGAGGAUGUGUAACUUAUGAAAUCACAUUUUAGAUGUGCUAAUAUUUUUUGCUAAGUCCACUGAUGAGAUUUAGUUAUCCUUGUCAGAGACACAAAAGCUUUGGUUCUGUCAAGUUGUUACACAUUUUUGAGGCCUUUACAGUAAGCUAGGUCUUCAUCACCAAGAAGGGAUGCUGCCCCCAAAGCUUUCCUGACAUGAAUUAAGGGGUAGUGUGAUGCUCUGGCUCCUGCAGAUGUUGGAGAAUUCAGACAUUAGACACAAAACCUGAGUUCCUGAGCUCCACCACUCAUGCUUGAGUCUGUCACAGUCUCCCAACUUUGGGGCAGGAAGCUUGGGGCAGAACUCUCUCUGUUCUCCCUGGGCAGAUUGCUGGCACCUGACACACCAUAUGCUAUUUUUAUUCAAAAUAAAUAGCAGGGAUGAGCUCCCCCCCUGCCUUCCCGUUCCAUCUGCUGCUGAUAUCCUUCCCAGUAAGACAGAGCUUCCAGUCUCAACUUUAUUAAAGAAAGGGACUAUAGACUUGUUCCAGAUAAAUACUCAGUUUUUGUUGGAAGUGUCCCCAGACAGAGAAGGCACUGUCUGACCAGUCACCACUUAGCAGAAUUCUGUCAUCUGCCAGCCAUAAUCUACAAUUAAAACUGAAAUAUUUUGAUAUAUAUUCCCCAACACAGAGAAAAUAGUGUCUUAAGGGAGCUGAAGAGCAGAAGGAGGCGUGGUUGCGCCUUAUUUGUUCAACAUUGGUGAGUCAUUUAAUCUGAAUUUCUAGGCAUUUUAAGAGUUUUGCUUCAAAGGUCUAUUGUGUGGCUUCUGGCAACAAAUGAAAUACCAGUGAGGUUUGGUUCUUCAUUUAGAAUUAAUUUUAAAACAUCACUCACUAUAUAAGACCUAAUUGAAAGCCUAUGGUCACUUGUCGGUUGGAAGAAUUCCCAACGAUUUCACUGGGCUUUGGAUGAGGGUCUCAACCCGCAAAAAUGUUUAUUUUUCUUCUUUGUAUUUAAUCUUGGAUGGGAAGACAAGUUAUUCUUUCAGAAUAAUUUUGCAGGUUUUUUUAGUUUUUAUUUCUUCAGGCUAGAACUGAGUUGAGUGCAAAGAAAUGUGUUUGUAAAGAAAAUCAUCAAGCACUGAGAGUGAAGUGAGGGCUGUAUUUUUGCUUUUCUAGCUUGGACUUACUGUACUAUAAACCAUCAGAACACUGCAAAUCUAUGAGGUGCCAGAUUUCUGAUUUUUUUUUCUGAUUUUUUCCGAUUUUUCCUAAUUUUUUUCUGAUUUUCUGUUUUAUUUCUGAAUGUCAAAUAUAAGUGGGGAUACAAAAAAAAAAACCCCAGAGCUUUAGUCAGAGUUCUGUUUGCAAAACGAAACCUGUGCUUUGUUUUCUGAGCUGGCAACAAACAGCCCCCUGGCUCUCUUGGGGAACAUGAACAUGGAGGUUCAUGAUCAUAAAUCUGAGUUUUCAGACAAACAUUUUCCUCUAGCUCCUGAGGUUCUCCUACUUGCAGUCUUUGGGAAUAUUACAAGGUUUUUGGGCAUAAAGAGCCUCUCAUUCUGGCUCCAGAAAGUGUUGCUGCCCACAGAGCCUUUCUCUUGUGAUUUCUGGUUAAUAGCACUUAGAAGAGGCUGCUCUGUCUCCAGUUAAAAGGAGGAUUUUUGGCAAGGGCAGAAAAGAGCCUGAAAGUCUCCCUUAACCCAUGCCUCUUGUCAGCUUCUUUAGAUGGGAUGGAGAAAAUCUUCCUUUUCUAUUGGAGUACUUCCAUACUAGGUCCCAGGACGAGUGUCUGCCCUUCUGGCUUCAUGGAAUAGCUGAGAGAAGUGUAACUGAUUGUAGAGUGGAGUUUACUACAGACCUAAGAUUUUGGGGAUCAAGAACAGUUUGCCUCUUCCUGACACAAGAAGGAAAUAAAAACAGAAAGCAAGUGAGAUAACCAGGAGUGCAUAGAGAUUUCUCCAAUUUCCUCAGAAAGCCAUUGGGAUCCAAUAAAACAGGCAUCACUCCUAGGAGACAACACAGGGAAUGUGAAAAGGUAGAUCUGAAGGGCAGAGAACACCUGUGGGUGGGGGUGAGAAACAGAAGAGGCAUGUGGUGUCUAAGUGCAGGAUUCAUGGGCUUUCCCAUUCUGCAGAAAUGUAACUCACCUAACUGCAAGUCUGAGCUGAGUGGCAGAGAGGAAGAGGUUGUGUGUCUCCUGGAGAAACUGGGACCAAAACGUUACGGACUUAAUCCUUCAUCUGUCAGUAAGGCCUGCAGAAACAAACUGCUCCACUGGCAUCAGGCUGAUGGCUCUCCAGGAUAACCAUCCUGUCUCUCCAGCUGCCAAUUCACUUGCAGCAUUAGUCACUGAGACUGAAUUGAAAGUGGCAGCUCAGGAUUCAAUUUCCAUGAAACUUGUAGGAACUUUAUUUCUUCAAGCCCUGCACCCCUCAGGUUUGAAACUGGUCGUUAAGCUUAAAAGGUGUUGGCUGGAAUAAGAGAAUGCCAGAUGGACAGAGGUCAGGAUCUCAUAAGCUUCAUCUCCUUUAGAAAUGAACAGCAAGAAGAAUAAACAAUGCUUCUGGUCUAAGUGUAUUUCUUACUGAUUAAAGACUGCGACGUGGAACGUGGCUAGAAUGAGUCAAACAGGAUGUUUACAGGGCACUUAGGUAAAAAAGAAUAAAAUGAUGCAGCAAGAAA